This 866-nucleotide ribosomal RNA is filed under the name uncultured archaeon. RNAcentral describes it as "bacterial SSU rRNA". It matches the Rfam family "Archaeal small subunit ribosomal RNA", at positions 5 to 879 of the family's 1478-position model. The record is from RNAcentral.
CGGUUGAUCCUGCCGGAGGCUAUUGCUAUCAGGGUUUGACUAAGCCAUGCGAGUCGAGAGGUGAAAGACCUCGGCAUACUGCUCAGUAACACGUGGAUAAUCUGCCCUCAGGUGAGGAAUAAUCCCGGGAAACUGGGGCUAAUGCCUCAUAGGAGACGGGUGCUGGAAUGCUCUGUCUCCGAAAGGUCCGCCGCCUGAGGAUGAGUCUGCGUCCGAUUAGGUUGUUGUUGGGGUAACGGCCCAACAAGCCUUUGAUCGGUACGGGUUGUGGGAGCAAGAGCCCGGAGAUGGAUUCUGAGACAUGAAUCCAGGCCCUACGGGGCGCAGCAGGCGCGAAAACUUUACAAUGCGAGCAAUCGUGAUAAGGAAACCCUGAGUGCCUGUCAAUGCAGGCUGUUCUGGUGUCUAACACACACCAAGAGAAAGGGCGGGGCAAGACCGGUGCCAGCCGCCGCGGUAAUACCGGCUGCUCGAGUGAUAGCCACUUUUACUGGGCUUAAAGCGUUCGUAGCUUGGUCGUUAAGUCUCUGGGGAAAUCUUUUGGCUCAACCAAAAGGCGUCUCAGGGAAACUGACGAUCUUGGAACCGGGAGAGGUAAGACGUACUUCGGGGGUAGGAGUGAAAUCUUGUAAUCCCCGAGGGACGACCGAUGGCGAAGGCAUCUUACCAGAACGGCUUCGACAGUGAGGGACGAAAGCUGGGGGAGCAAACCGGAUUAGAUACCCGGGUAGUCCCAGCCGUAAACGAUGUGCGUUAGGUGUGUCAGUGACCACGAGUCGCUGAGGUGCCGAAGGGAAACCGUGAAACGCACCGCCUGGGAAGUACGGUCGCAAGGCUGAAACUUAAAGGAAUUGGCGGGGGAGCAC